UGAACUGAUGGUCACUGUCUUCUUUGUUC
Molecule: small RNA, 29 nt
Filed under: Bombyx mori (domestic silkworm)
Lineage: Eukaryota; Metazoa; Arthropoda; Insecta; Lepidoptera; Bombycidae
Description: ovarian small RNA-30823
Source: RNAcentral